UGUAAAAUUAAGGGCGUACGGUGGAUGCCUUGGCAUCAAAUGGCGAUGAAGGACGCGGCGUAGCUGCGAUAAGCUUCGGGGAGGUGUUAGCAACCUUUGAUCCGGAGAUUUCCGAAUGGGGAAACCCAAUUGCGUAAACCGCAAUUACUCUUCCUUAAAAAAAGAGUGCGUAUCUGCUGAAGUGAAACAUCUCAGUAAGCAGAAGAAUAUAAAGCAAUAGCGAUCCCCCGAGUAGCGGCGAGCGAAAAGGGAUCUAGCCCAAACUUAGAGUGUAUAUGUUGGAAACUGGAUGUCAGAAGUCGAUUUAUCGGCUACUAGUUCAGAGCUUCCGGCGUGUUAUGUUUUGAGGGUUGUAAGAUAGAAACAUUUUAACUUUAAAAUUGAUUCAGCUAUAGUGGUGGAUCAAUUUUACUGUUAAAGGAAAGUUACAAAAUUGUUGGUUAGCUGAAUCCGCUGGAAAGCGGAACCAUAGGGAGUGAUAGUCUCGUAAGCGAAAACCGACAAUCUUUCUGUUUUUACCGGUAUAAAAUCCGGAGGUGGCCGUAAAUGGUUAUCUAUCUUGAGUACUCCGAGGCAAAUUAACCUUGGAGGAAGCAACGAGCACUAUUCUCGUGAGGCUAAAUACAUUUGAUGACCGAUAGUGAACCAGUACCGUGAGGGAAAGGUGAAAAGCAGCCCGGUGAGGGCGGUGAAAUAGUACCUGAAACCAUAUGCCUACAAGGACUCGAAGCCUAAAACGUUCGUCGCAAGACGGAUGAAUGGGUAACGUGGUGCCUAUUGAAGAAUGAGCCAACGACUUUACAUAAGCGGCGAGAGUAAGUGCGAUAAGCACGGACUCAUAGGGAAACCAAGUGUUAACAGCGCGUGAGUCGCUUACGUAAGACCCGAAGCCAAGCGAGCUUGUCCUGAGCAGGUUGAAGUGAGGGUAACACCUCAUGGAGGACCGAACUAGUGGGUUGUGCAAAACCCUUGGAUGACUUGGGAUAAGUAGUGAAAAGCUAAUCGAGCUUGGUAAUAGCUGGUUCUCUCCGAAACAGUUUUCGGACUGGCGCUUAGACUACUCCGAUUCGUUGGAGUAGAGGUUUGAUGGAGGUAGAGCACUGGAUGGUCUGUACAGAUCGCAAGAUCGGCAGACCAAUCAAACUCCGAAUGCCAUCACUCAAAAAAUAAGUAGUUAGACUGUGGGGGCGAAGCUCCAUGGUCGCGAGGGAAAAAGCCCAGAUCGUCGUCUAAGGUCCCAAAAUUCUUACUAAGUGUAAAAGGUAGUAGUAAACCAUUGACAGAUAGGAGGUUGGCUUAGAGGCAGCCAUCCUUUAAAGAGUGCGUAACAGCUCACUAUUCGAUGGUUUAUUGCGCCAAAAAUGUACCGGGGCUAAGUAAGAUACCGAAGACACGGAUGACCUGACGGAUGUCAGGUCGUGGUAGGAGAGCGUUCCAAACUGCGUUGAAGGCGGACCCGCGAGGGCUGCUGGAGUGUUUGGAAGAGAGAAUGUUGGUAUGAGUAACCCCAAAUUGGGUGAGAAACCCAAUCCCCGAAAAUCCCAGGUUUCCGUGGCAAUGGCAAUCAUCCACGGGUUAGGCGAUCCUAAGGCAAUGGCGAAAGCCGCAGCUGAUGGGUAGCCGGUUAAUAUUCCGGCCCUUCCACUAGAUUUCGACGGAGUGACGGAGGAAAAAGACUUGCGCGCCUUAAUGGUUUGGCGUCGCUUGCGUUCAGACUUGGCUUCCAGGCAAAUCCGGAAGUCUGCAUUUAAUUGCGAAUUUCGCGCGCCGGCGUAAGGCAUUGUUUUUACAAUGCUAAUGCAAGAGAAGAGCCUUCCAAGAAAAACUUCUAGGUGUGUCUAGGGAAAUCGUACCGUAAACCGACACUGGUGGGUGAGGCGAGAAGCCUCAGGGGAACGAGUGAGUCAUCGUUAAGGAACUCGGCAAAAAAGCGGCCGUAAGUUAGCGAUAAGGCCUGCCCUUCGCAAGAAGGGCCGCAGCGAAAGUAUCUCUGGCAACUGUUUAACAAAAACACAGCUCCCUGCUAACUCGCAAGAGGAUGUAUAGGGGGUGACGCCUGACCGAUGCGAGAAGGUUAACGGUGGGGGUGGUAGGCCGCAAGGUUUAUUGCUCACUGCCCUAAGACCUCGUCAAUGUCAGUGGUAACUAUAACCGUGCUAAGGUAACGCAGUUCCAUUCUAAGUAAGUUCUGAAGCGCACUAAAGGCGUAAUGAUAGGAGAACUG
This 2224-nucleotide ribosomal RNA is filed under the name groundwater metagenome. Its description in RNAcentral is "bacterial LSU rRNA". It matches the Rfam family "Bacterial large subunit ribosomal RNA", at positions 1 to 2018 of the family's 2925-position model. The record is from RNAcentral.